Bos taurus (domestic cattle) is the source of this 819-nucleotide long non-coding RNA. NCBI's taxonomy places the organism in Eukaryota, Metazoa, Chordata, Mammalia, Artiodactyla, Bovidae. The record is from Ensembl.
GGUUACUGAGUCCAUGGUCUAACCAUCGAGACCCACUGCCUUUUUGUAUGUGAGAGAAAAAUUAAAGCGUAAGAUCUGGAGAUAGGUUUUAUAGCUGACAGAGUGAGCUGGAAGGUCUGGUAGAAUAAUUUAUAAUCUCCUCUUGCUGGUUACUGUACCAUCGUUACAGGCAGAAUUUUAGAUUAAGUAGGUCAAUUUCUAAGAUGACCUGCAGCCCCUUAAAUGAAGAGAGUUGAAAGCGGGCAUUAGAAGCUGUUGCACAAAUGCAGCCUCAUUAGGAUUUUGUGUUUAGUGCCUCUGGUUUACAAUGUCAUUUAUUAUACAAAAAGCACAGUAUUUCGGCUAUAAUCUGAAAGCACAGAGACAGCAGUUACAAACGAGGUCUGGAAAACAAGAUUACCAGUUUGGAAAGGAAACAGAACGCAGUAUCAAGCCCCACAGUUUAGCAGAAAUGGGUCGUAUUGUAAGUAAUACGCCCAGUGAUGGACCUUCUUUCUUAAUCUGCAGUUCACUGUACCAAUGAUGAUUAUCUGACCCAAUCUGGAACAAUCAGAGCACUUUCCCUAUAAAUAUGGAAUUGAGGUGAAUGAGAAGUAAAGGGAAGAAAACAGAGAGGGAGGAGAAGAUUAAUUCAAUUUCCUUGUGAGGUAGAGUGGUGACCUGCAAACUCAGGAGAUGUGCGUAGACUUCUUGCCAGACAGAUUGGGCAACAGAGAAAGCCAGGGUGCAGGAACAGAACAAUGCGACGGUUACACAGAGAGAAACAGAGAGCCACAGAAGAAAUUCAGGCGUGGCUCUUCUGAGACUGAGCAUCCCAUU